RNAcentral lists this transfer RNA (72 nucleotides) under Cavia porcellus (domestic guinea pig). It matches the Rfam family "tRNA". From Rfam's summary of the family: Transfer RNA (tRNA) molecules are approximately 80 nucleotides in length. Their secondary structure includes four short double-helical elements and three loops (D, anti-codon, and T loops). Lineage: Eukaryota; Metazoa; Chordata; Mammalia; Rodentia; Caviidae. The record is from Rfam by way of RNAcentral.
GGGGAUAUAGCUCAGUGGCACAGUGCCUGCCUGGCAAGCUCAAGGUCCUAAGUUCAAUUCCCAGUACCCCCU